UGGAAAUUAGUGAGGGAACAAAAUUCCUCAUUAAUUAUGACGGAAUUAGAGACGGAAAAUUGCAUUUCCUUUAAAAAUCUAUAUUAUUGACGAAAUUAGUGAGGGAUGUUUUUUUCCUCCCUAAAUUUCCGUCACAAAGGAAAAACAUUCCGUCACAAUAACAAUAUUUGUACCUACGGACAACCAAUACCGUCAGUGAAACAUUUAUUUAUUCUUUAUUUUAUAUAUAUUAUAUAUUAUUAUUGAUUAUUAUUAUUAUAUCAAAAGUAAGAGAAACGACUAAACACUGAGUUAUCCAAAUUUCAAACCAACUCGCUCAAGGUUGCUCUUGAUCGUUCUCAUCGCGUUUCCGAAAUUUCACUCAAUCGUUCCUUAACCUCCACUCUCAGUCCUUUAGAAUCGCUCUGGAUCAUUCAAAAAUUGUUCGUAAUCGUUCGAAGUCGCAU
RNAcentral lists this long non-coding RNA (446 nucleotides) under Trifolium pratense (red clover). RNAcentral's name for it is "long non-coding RNA (TPRA_LNC005810)". The record is from RNAcentral. Lineage: Eukaryota; Viridiplantae; Streptophyta; Magnoliopsida; Fabales; Fabaceae.